UACGUAGGGUGCGAGCGUUAAUCGGAAUUACUGGGCGUAAAGCGUGCGCAGGCGGUUUUGUAAGCCAGAUGUGAAAUCCCCGGGCUCAACCUGGGAAUGGCAUUUGGGACUGCAAGGCUGGAGUGCGGCAGAGGAGACUGGAAUUCCUGGUGUAAGCGGUGAAAUGCGCAGAUAAGUCAGGAGGAACACCGGUGGCGAAGGCGGCCAACUGGACCAUUACUGACGCUGAGGCGCGAAAGCGUGGGGAGCAAACAGG
This 256-nucleotide ribosomal RNA is filed under the name uncultured bacterium. Its description in RNAcentral is "partial 16S ribosomal RNA". It matches the Rfam family "Bacterial small subunit ribosomal RNA", at positions 524 to 776 of the family's 1533-position model. The record is from RNAcentral.